UACGGAGGAUCCAAGCGUUAUCCGGAUUCAUUGGGUUUAAAGGGUGCGUAGGCGGAAUGAUAAGUCAGUGGUGAAAGCCUGCAGCUUAACUACAGAACUGCCAUUGAUACUGUCAAUCUUGAGUACAUUUGAUGUGGGCGGAAUGUGUCAUGUAGCGGUGAAAUGCUUAGAUAUGACACAGAACACCGAUUGCGAAGGCAGCUCACAAAACUGUAACUGACGCUGAGGCACGAAAGCGUGGGUAUCAAACAGG
This 253-nucleotide ribosomal RNA is filed under the name uncultured bacterium. RNAcentral's name for it is "partial 16S ribosomal RNA". It matches the Rfam family "Bacterial small subunit ribosomal RNA", at positions 524 to 776 of the family's 1533-position model. The record is from RNAcentral.